UGAAUCUUACUUUAAUUUUUCGAGUAUAAAUAAUUACUGCAACAAAUUUUGUGUAAUCAAAAUUAUCACAUCCAUUUAUCAACAUGCCAUAUGCUAAUCAACCAAAGCUGUCCAUAUCUGAACUGUCAGACGAGAACAUAAAAUUUCACAUUGAAGACACAGACCUGAGUGUAGCCAACAGCAUCCGUAGAGUGUUCAUGGCUGAGACUCCUACCAUUGCUAUUGACUGGGUGCAGCUUGAAGAAAACUCAACUGUGCUAAGUGACGAGUUCAUAUCUCACCGUGUUGGUCUCAUUCCAUUCACUUCAGAUGAGACUGUGGAAGCAAUGCAUUAUUCUCGUGAUUGUUCUUGCUCCGACUACUGCCCUGACUGCAGCGUGGAGUUCACUUUGGACGUCCGGUGCUUGGAUGACCACACACGCAACGUCACGACUGCCGACCUCAAGAGCAGUGACACUAGAGUUAUUCCCGUCACCAAUAGAAACAGGGGGGACGGUCCUGAAUACGGCGAAGCUGAUGAUAUCCUGAUUGUGAAGCUGCGUAAGGGCCAGGCUUUGAAACUACGGGCGUACGCAGUCAAGGGCUUUGGCAAGGAGCACGCCAAGUGGAACCCCACUACGGGAGUGGCAUUUGAAUACGACCCUGACAACAUCCUCAGGCACACCAUCUACCCCAAGCCUGAAGACUGGCCCAAGAGCGAGUACUCGGAGCUUGAGGAAGGCAAACUCGCGGGUGAAGCUCCGUUUGAUCCGUACGCAAAGGCACGCAAAUUCUACUUUAAUGUCGAGGCGUCGGGAGCAUUGAAGCCCGAGAACAUCGUGCUCAUGGGCAUCGCCAUUCUCAAGAACAAGCUCGUCACUGUCCAAAACCAAGCCGCUCUCGAAGGCGCGCCUGUUGACCACGAGCCCACUUGGAUGGAGCGAUGAGGCUUCCUAUACCUUCGUCUCAGAAAUGAUAGGAUAUCUUACAUGCCACCAGAUGAAGCCGAUUACGAUCCAUUAGCAAAAGCGCAGAAGUUUUUCUUCAACGUCGAGUCGUG
This 1039-nucleotide unclassified non-coding RNA is filed under the name Hyalella azteca. RNAcentral describes it as "dNA-directed RNA polymerase II subunit RPB3, transcript variant X1". The record is from RNAcentral. Lineage: Eukaryota; Metazoa; Arthropoda; Malacostraca; Amphipoda; Hyalellidae.